UACAGAGGGUGCAAGCGUUAAUCGGAAUGACUGGGCGUAAAGGGCGCGUAGGUGGUUAUUUAAGAUAGUUGUGAAAUAUCUGGGCUUAACCUGGAGGAGUCAACUAAGACUGGGUAGCUAGAGUUGAGGAGAGGGAAGUGGAAUUUCCGGAGUAGCGGUGAAAUGCGUAGAUAUCGGAAGGAACACCGGUGGCGAAGGCGGCUUUCUGGCCGAAGACUGACACUGAGGCGCGAAAGCAUGGGUAGCAAACAGG
Molecule: ribosomal RNA, 253 nt
Filed under: uncultured bacterium
Lineage: Bacteria
Description: partial 16S ribosomal RNA
Rfam family: Bacterial small subunit ribosomal RNA
Source: RNAcentral